CGACGUCUUUUCUGCCCUGUUUCCGGUCUUUGCCCUCCGUGUCCGUAUACGUCCCUUCCUCCGUUACUUUUCAUUCCCUCGUUUUUUCUUCUUCCCUUUUUGUUCGUGUCUUUCCCUUACCGACCCUCACAUCUGCUCUCUCAAGAAGUAUCAGAAGGGGGUGAGGCAUCGAGAGGCACAACAUAGCAAAGCAAUAACAAGAGAAAACUAGUCACGCGGCCUCAGACUCAGUCGAGACACGGGUGAGCAUGGAACGACUUCGCGUCGUUUGCAUCCGUGCAGCCGCCCCUCGUCGGCGACUUGCUGGUGCAAACUUACGCCAUGGGCGAGUGGAGACAGUACUGAGCGUAGGCACAAACUCGUCGCUGCUGAGGCAAUGGUCCGUGUCUUCUGGUCGGAGCCCUUCAGCGGCGUGGACGACGUGCGCACAAACGCGCAUGACGGCUACUCUCCCGGAGGCGCAAUGCGCCGGUAGUGUGGCUAACGGCAUCAGCACCGAGAGCAGCGUCCGCGUGGCGGAGUCGAAGGUGACCUCGUCCGUGGCAACAGGUUUACCAGUUCCACCAUCUUUCUCGAGUCGCACCGGCACCGCGUCCGGCGCGCAUGCUCUAAAUGUGAAGGGAACCGGAGAUGCCGCGAUGGUGAGCUUCUCGCAGGGCAUGACAGAUUACCGAUGGUGCGCCAUCCCGGGCACGGACACGGUGUGCGCCCCGUCGGUGCAGCACCGCGAAACGGUAUCAAAUCGAAUUCGGCUUUUCGGCAUGCCGAAAGGCUUUCCGGACACGACCGCCGCAGGGUUUCAGCGGUUUUUCUACCUGUCCCUGACAAGCUCCUUUGUGUCCAACUUCGCCUCUUCGAUCGGAUAUCAGUCGCUGCUCAGCGGCUUCUUCCUCGGUUCCUCGCCGCAGCUGUGGAUGCUGAAGGAUCUCGUUCCCGCCCUGUUCGCGGCCUACAUGGCGAACAAAGUCGUCUCCUACGAGAGCCGGCCCAAGUUCUGGUUCGUCGUGAGCGUCUUCAUAAACAACUUGACGGUUAUAUCGGACAUGCUCAUUCCUUCUGUGUUGCCGAACCACCUCCUCGCUGCCGCCAUCAUCACGUCGACCGUAAAGCAGUCCUCGGCUCUCAUGUACUUUGUGACGCGCGCUUCGGCACUCCAGCACUACGCCAUCAACAAUAACCUUGCCGAGCUGACGAAGAAGUUCAACUCUUUCGGCAUGGUAUCCUACACGGUGGCGACAGCGCUCGGUAUCCUGUACUGCACCUACAUUGCGAGUUUCACGGUGCAGCUCAUCACGGUCGCCGCCUGCUGUGUGACGAACAUGUUCUUGUCCUCCAUGUCCAUGAUGCCUAUCACGUUUCGCUUGCUGAACUUCGACACAAUGAAGCUGCUGCUUCGCGCCUUUAUCCUGGAAAAGCGCCGCAUCCUGACGCCACAGGAGAUAUCGAAUUUGCUUGGCGUGCGCAUGUUGCCGAUGCAGGCACUGAAGAAGGUUGGUAUUGCCAUGGAUGUGGCCACCCACCUCGUGUGUGUUAGCCCGCCGGUGAACAAACUGCUGAUCCGGUCCGACACGCUGGAGGAGGAUGUGCUGUACGUGAACAGUGACCACAUGUUCAUGCUCGCUAUGUGGAAGCCAUCCCCGCUGCCUCUGACGCUGAGGGAGUGUUGGCAGCGCUACGAGUUCCCGCCGCUGCCCCGCUUGUUCCGGAAAGCCAGCUGGCGGCGCCGCUCACAGGAGGAUCUCGACAUGGAGAAGAAGUUCCACGGCCGGCGUCUGGUGCUGUUGGUGCAUCAGAAAUGCACCGCCAAACACCUCAUUGCGGCGUACCUCAUCAUGUACACGGCUGUGUUGCAGCAUGCAGAUACAGAGGAGGAGCUGCGCCGCUUUGUGCGCACGUGCCACGGUGAGCAGGAACUGUGGCAUCUGCGUGGGGAGGAGUUCGGCCAGAUGCUGCUGGCUGCUGACUGGGACGUGCACCUACCGCUCCUGGACCACCACAACUUCCGCAUGUCAGAGCUCAUUUUACCGCCCUCCAUGCGGAGCGCAGCGAAGGGCUGCGCGGCAUAGAUCGGAAAGUAUGGCUAUGCGUGAGUUCCUAGGCAGACGAGGAGCAUACACCCGGACUCGGCAAUAAUGCCUUUGACAAUGCAGUCCGUUUUAUUGUUGUUUCUCUCCUCCUCUGCUGACAGGGGGGGGGGACAUUUCAGUGCGCCGUAUCUGAGGGUGCAGUACACCCCCCGCCCCCUAGCCCUGCCAAAUGCCGGGCCACCUCUGGUGGUGACAGGGCCUAGUGCCUACGACGUAGGGGAAGGCCCGAGCGAUGCAUCACUGCUGAUGUCGGCGGUGAGGGGCUGGAUGGCGCUGCGUCGGACCGACCUGCGACCGUGCACACGCUUGCGCCAUCCACGUGAUGGGCAGAGCGUCCGCGUGACUCGAGCGUGUACCGCACCCCCGGCCCUCGCACUGCCCAGUGGUGUGGGGCGGCGGAGCGCCACCGCGAGUGUGUGUGUGUGUGCAGCACGUAGGGACCGACAUGAUGUGGGAGCGGCUGUGAGGCGGCCUGCGAGGCAGGAUGGGUGGGCGGACAGAGCUUGAGGGCAGUGGGGCCGUUCUCCGAUGACUGAGUGGGCACACUGCCGCAACGCCUGGCGAAAGCGAUGGUUGACAGCACGCGCUGAGGAACUUUGGCAGGCCUGGGCUAGUGUGGAGUAUAGCGCAUGCUCGCUGACAGCGACUGGGCACAUUGGCCUUACUCCCCCUCCUUCUCCUGUGCGUUGUGAUGUUUCGACGCGGGCGGAACGUUUCUGCCACAGCUGCCUUAGCGUGAGCUUGCUUACGGCCUACCUUAGGAGGAGGCUAUCCGCUCGUGCACAAAGAGGGCUGGGCGGGUUUGAAGUCAAACAAAUGAGGUUCGAUGGCGGCCACGUCAUACCACGGGAGACGGUCCAGCGGAACGAAAAGCAAAACAACAAGUGAAACAAGAAAGGAAAAGUGGUGUGUGUUUUUAUGUGGGUUUGAGUGGGUGGGUCGGGGCGAACUUGCCGUUUUUGUUGUUCUGCCCAACUUUGUGCUAGAAUGAAGUUCUGGUACCGCGCUGCUCUUGUUGUACUAUGAACAUUUUCGUUGUUGUUUUCUUUCGUGCUGCUUCGGUUACGGUUACACGUCAUUGCCGUGCCUUUAUCGUUUAGCACAACCUCCACGUCGCUCGUGUGUGUGUGUGUGUGUUUCUUCGUGCCAUUCCGUGUGAGGCUGAGGCCUCGCUGAUCGCUCUCGGAACGCACAAAUGCGGCGGCAUAGGUGUACCAAAGAAGGAGGGCAUGACGACAAAUCUCUUACUUCUUGUGCCCUUCUCUCAUGCAAGCGGAUGCGCGAGAUCAGCUCCGGUCCAGCGUAACGACAACAGCGCGCAGCAGGACUUAGCGAAAAGCAAAAAAAAACACAAAUCAACAACGUGCAGUGGUGUUUGGACGGUGCGUGGUGACCGGAGCGUCGAUUUUUUUUUGUGUGCUCUCGCGGUUCGGGUGAGGCAGUACGUAUACGCCCUUGCUCUCCUCCUUUUCGAUUCUUUUUUUUUCGAUUCUUUAUUUCUAUUCUGAUUUUUUUUUGCACACUUAAAUCCUGAAAUUUGACGGUGCUCCUUCUCUUCUGUCUUUUUCCUUCUCAUUGAAAAAAGGUAUUUGGCCCUCUUGUACUGGGUGGGGGGAAGGAGGGUCCCUGCUAUUUGUGUUUCGUUCUUUUCGUUUUCGAUGGGGGCAGUCUCACGGUCGUGACCUGCGGGCCAUAUCUGCAUGUGGGGCGUGGUGGACCUCUUUCCUCACAUCCCUUCUGAUGUUGGGGAAGGUGCUUGUUUUUUUUUUUCGUGUACUAACUUCUCUGCGAGUUCGAGUCGAUCCCACACCGACCAGCCCAUCAUCGUGCCCGCCACUGGGUGGGAGACAUGAUGGAUGAGGAAGGGUGGGCCCGAUACUUUCGUGGAAGGCAUCGAAACGAUAAGCAGCAACUCUGUAAGAGCGGACUACACAAGCCGGUUUCUCCUACCUGGUGAUGUCCAACACGUUUGUGGCAUCGUCCAUAACAGGUUAGAAAAUGAGGAUAAAGCCCCACGCAGGCCCACAAACUACCUUGUUCUCCUCUGGCUCUUCUCUAUCUGGUCGCGCAUUAGCGAUGGCAGG
This 4171-nucleotide unclassified non-coding RNA is filed under the name Leishmania donovani. RNAcentral's name for it is "gene:LdHU3.32.2520(CDS-product:Vitamin_B6_photo-p rotection_and_homoeostasis_putative)". Lineage: Eukaryota; Euglenozoa; Kinetoplastea; Trypanosomatida; Trypanosomatidae. The record is from RNAcentral.